UGGUGAAAUGAAGUAGGCAGCAAAGC
RNAcentral lists this non-coding RNA (26 nucleotides) under Homo sapiens (human). The record is from RNAcentral. Lineage: Eukaryota; Metazoa; Chordata; Mammalia; Primates; Hominidae.